RNAcentral lists this microRNA precursor (103 nucleotides) under Marmota monax (woodchuck). The record is from RNAcentral. Lineage: Eukaryota; Metazoa; Chordata; Mammalia; Rodentia; Sciuridae.
AGUGAAGUUUCUGGGCUAUAUGGUAAUUGCAUGAUUCAUUUUAUAAAAAACUGCUGAACUAUUUUCUAAAAUGCCUUUGACAUUUUACAUUUCCACCAGCAAU